GCUCGGGUCGCCUAGCACGGACAGGGCACCCGCCUCCUAAGCGGGUUAUCUGGGGUUCAAAUCCCCACCCGAGCG
RNAcentral lists this transfer RNA (75 nucleotides) under Methanobacteriota archaeon. Its description in RNAcentral is "Euryarchaeota archaeon tRNA-Arg". It matches the Rfam family "tRNA". From Rfam's summary of the family: Transfer RNA (tRNA) molecules are approximately 80 nucleotides in length. Their secondary structure includes four short double-helical elements and three loops (D, anti-codon, and T loops). The record is from RNAcentral. Lineage: Archaea; Methanobacteriati; Methanobacteriota. RNAcentral also lists the same sequence under 1 other name.